CCAAUAGCGUAUAUUAAAGUUGUUGCAGUUAAAAAGCUCGUAGUUGAAUUUCGGGAUCAAUAUGUCGGUCGUGCCUUCGGUACGUACUGGUAUCAUUGGUCUCUCCUUUCUGACGAACCAUGAUGUCAUUAAUUUGGUGUUAUGGGGAGUUAGGACUGUUACUUUGAAAAAAUUAGAGUGUUUAAAGCAGGCUUUAGCUUGAAUACAUUAGCAUGGAAUAAUGAAAUAGGACGUUCGAACCUAUUUUGUUGGUUUCUAGGAUCAACGUAAUGAUUAAUAGGGAUAGUUGGGGGCAUUAGUAUUCAAUUGUCAGAGGUGAAAUUCUUGGAUUUAUUGAAGACUAACUACUGCGAAAGCAUUUGCCAAGGAUGUUUUCAUUAAUCAAGAACGAAAGUUAGGGGAUCGAAGACGAUCAGAUACCGUCGUAGUCUUAACCAUAAACUAUGCCGACUAGGGAUCGGAUGAUGUUAAUUUUUUAAUGACUCAUUCGGCGCCUUACA
RNAcentral lists this ribosomal RNA (500 nucleotides) under uncultured Glomus. RNAcentral's name for it is "SSU rRNA". It matches the Rfam family "Eukaryotic small subunit ribosomal RNA", at positions 591 to 1092 of the family's 1831-position model. Lineage: Eukaryota; Fungi; Glomeromycota; Glomeromycetes; Glomerales; Glomeraceae. The record is from RNAcentral.